This 359-nucleotide long non-coding RNA is filed under the name Vigna radiata. Its description in RNAcentral is "long non-coding RNA (VRAD_LNC006068)". The record is from RNAcentral. Lineage: Eukaryota; Viridiplantae; Streptophyta; Magnoliopsida; Fabales; Fabaceae.
UAGAAUAUGCACAACCAGAUAAAAAUAAUUCUCACUUCUCAAAGUGUUUGUCCUCACUUGACAGUAGAAUUGUCUAAGAACUUCAUCAGCUUUUGCAUUUCAUUUGAUUCACACACUUCACACACUAUUGGUUAAGUCCAAAGGUCUUUUUAGGAUAAGGCAUGGCUUGGCUAGAAAAAGAAUAAUGGUUUUUCUCGGAUUGAAAGAGACACCUAAAGAAGAGAACAGUUUCACUUCACAUUUCAGUACUCAAAUCCUCAGCAUAUGUCAUUCAUUACAACCAUUCUCUUUUAUCAUUCAACCUUCUUUCUCAAUUUGAUACCUCCCUUUUUUUUUUAUUUUGAACAUUUCUUCCCCCA